GUGUAAAAGAGGAAGCACUAAUACAGAGGAAUCCGACAACGGCCUUGGGGAAAAUGAGCUGCCAAGAUUAGAGACCCUAGAAAGGGGUCUGUGUCUGGCUAGGAACCUUCAACACUGCUGAAGAAGCUGCAAGAACUUAUGAUGUUGAAGCUCGGAGGAUCUGAGGCAAUAAAGCUAAGGUGAAUUUCCAAGAAGAGACAUCCUCCACAACUUACAAACGCACUACGAAGACAAACCCUCAGAAGGGAUGU
This is a long non-coding RNA of Telopea speciosissima, 251 nucleotides long. RefSeq lists it as uncharacterized. The record is from RefSeq and is a predicted model, not a curated record. The transcript has 4 exons. NCBI's taxonomy places the organism in Eukaryota, Viridiplantae, Streptophyta, Magnoliopsida, Proteales, Proteaceae.